GAACCUGCGGAGGGAUCAUUACCGAGUUUACAACUCCCAAACCCCUGUGAACAUACCUUAUGUUGCCUCGGCGGAUCAGCCCGCGCCCCGUAAAAAGGGACGGCCCGCCGCAGGAACCCUAAACUCUGUUUUUAGUGGAACUUCUGAGUAUAAAAAACAAAUAAAUCAAAACUUUCAACAACGGAUCUCUUGGUUCUGGCAUCGAUGAAGAACGCAGCAAAAUGCGAUAAGUAAUGUGAAUUGCAGAAUUCAGUGAAUCAUCGAAUCUUUGAACGCACAUUGCGCCCGCCAGUAUUCUGGCGGGCAUGCCUGUUCGAGCGUCAUUUCAACCCUCAAGCCCAGCUUGGUGUUGGGAGCUGCAGUCCUGCUGCACUCCCCAAAUACAUUGGCGGUCACGUCGAGCUUCCAUAGCGUAGUAAUUUACACAUCGUUACUGGUAAUCGUCGCGGCCACGCCGUUAAACCCCAACUUCUGAAUGUUGACCUCGGAUCAGGUAGGAAUACCCGCUGAACUUAAGCAUAUCAAUAAGCG
Molecule: ribosomal RNA, 531 nt
Filed under: Fusarium sp.
Lineage: Eukaryota; Fungi; Ascomycota; Sordariomycetes; Hypocreales; Nectriaceae
Description: eukaryotic LSU rRNA
Rfam family: 5.8S ribosomal RNA (bases 170-323)
Source: RNAcentral